This 468-nucleotide ribosomal RNA is filed under the name uncultured bacterium. RNAcentral describes it as "partial 16S ribosomal RNA". It matches the Rfam family "Bacterial small subunit ribosomal RNA", at positions 28 to 507 of the family's 1533-position model. The record is from RNAcentral.
GACGAACGCUGGCGGCGUGCUUAACACAUGCAAGUCGAACGGAAAGGCCCUGCUUUUUUGGUGUGCUCGAGUGGCGAACGGGUGAGUAACACGUGAGUAACCUGCCCUUGACUUUGGGAUAACUUCAGGAAACUGGGGCUAAUACCGGAUAGGAGCUCCUGCUUCAGGGUGGGUGUUGGAAAGUUUCGGCGGUUGGGGAUGGACUCGCGGCUUAUCAGCUUGUUGGUGGUGUAGUGGAUUACCAAGGCUUUGACGGGUAGCCGGCCUGAGAGGGUGACCGGCACAAUUGGGACUGAGCUACGGCACAGAGCACUACGGGAGGCAGCAGUGGGGAAUAUUGCACAAUGGGCGGAAGCAUGAUGCAGCAACGCCGCGUGCGGGAUGACGGCCUUCGGGUUGUAAACCGCUUUCGCCUGUGACGAAGCGUGAGUGACGGUAAUGGGUAAAGAAGCACCGGCUAACUACGUG